GAUGAAGAACGUAGCUAAAUGCGAUACUUGGUGUGAAUUGCAGAAUCCCGUGAACCAUCGAGUCUUUGAACGCAAGUUGCGCCUCAAGCCAUUAGGUUGAGGGCACGUCUGCCUGGGCGUCACAUAUCGUUGCCUGAUGCCAGUUUCCUCGUGAUGGGUGACUGUGCAGGGCGAAUGAUGGCUUCCCGUGAGCAUUGUUGCCUCAUGGUUGGUUGAAAAUUGAGUCCUUGGUAGGGAGCGCCGUGAUAGAUGGUGGUUGAGUGACGAACGAGACCCAAUCAUGUGAGACCCCUACCGAAUUUGGCCUUCAUGACCCACAUGCGUCUUUGGAACGCUCAUGACGAGACCUCAGGUCAGGCGGGGCUACCCGCUGAGUUUAAGCAUAUCAAUAAGCGGAGGA
Molecule: unclassified non-coding RNA, 400 nt
Filed under: soil metagenome
Description: partial contains 5.8S ribosomal RNA, internal transcribed spacer 2, and large subunit ribosomal RNA
Rfam family: 5.8S ribosomal RNA (bases 1-122)
Source: RNAcentral